RNAcentral lists this unclassified non-coding RNA (222 nucleotides) under Hevea brasiliensis (rubber tree). The record is from RNAcentral. Lineage: Eukaryota; Viridiplantae; Streptophyta; Magnoliopsida; Malpighiales; Euphorbiaceae.
GGCGGUUUGGGUUUAUUUUUGGAACCCGGUGGGCGACCCCUUGGCCGUCGGACCACCUCGAUGGUGGAACCAUCAGCGGUGGAAGUUAGCUCCGGGCGGUGUUUAAAGGGGGAAGGCACGGCGGCGGUGGGCUCGUCGGCGGGUUGUUGCGGCGGAGGAUGGUGGGAAAAAGGGUGGGCGGAGAGAUGGAAUUUGGAUAACAUAUUGGAAGUUUUGCUCUUG